Molecule: unclassified non-coding RNA, 306 nt
Filed under: Hevea brasiliensis (rubber tree)
Lineage: Eukaryota; Viridiplantae; Streptophyta; Magnoliopsida; Malpighiales; Euphorbiaceae
Source: RNAcentral
AAACCGGUUACCGAUUCACGCAGCAACAGAGCCGCCGUUCAAGCCACCAACGACGACGCUUCCGCCAGCAAACUGUCGUGUGUGAAAAAAGGAUAUAUGAAAGAUGAUUAUGUUCAUCUGUUUGUUAAAAAGCAGCUGAGGCGAGCUCCGAUUAUUAACCGUGGUUAUUUUGCCCGCUGGGCUGCUCUUCGAAAGAUGCUUUAUCAAUUUCUUGAUUGUGAGCCGAGUGCUGAUGGAAAUGGAAAUAUCAGGAAGCAGAUACUGUCACUUGGAGCUGGCUUCGACACACUGUUUUUUCAGUUGCAG